Molecule: ribosomal RNA, 449 nt
Filed under: uncultured bacterium
Lineage: Bacteria
Description: partial 16S ribosomal RNA
Rfam family: Bacterial small subunit ribosomal RNA
Source: RNAcentral
CCCAGACUCCUACGGGAGGCAGCAGUGGGGAAUAUUGGGCAAUGGGCGCAAGCCUGACCCAGCAACGCCGCGUGAAGGAAGAAGGCUUUCGGGUUGUAAACUUCUUUUGUCAGGGACGAAGCAAGUGACGGUACCUGACGAAUAAGCCACGGCUAACUACGUGCCAGCAGCCGCGGUAAUACGUAGGUGGCAAGCGUUAUCCGGAUUUAUUGGGUGUAAAGGGCGUGUAGGCGGGAAUGCAAGUCAGAUGUGAAAACGAGGGGCUCAACCCAUAGCCUGCAUUUGAAACUGUAUUUCUUGAGUGCUGGAGAGGCAAUCGGAAUUCCGUGUGUGGCGGUGAAAUGCGUGGAUAUACGGAGGAACACCAGUGGCGAAGGCGGAUUGCUGGACAGUAACUGACGCUGAGGCGCGAAAGCGUGGGGAGCAAACAGGAUUAGAUACCCUCGUAA